GUGGGACUACUCACAUGAAUAGAGUUAAGCAUAUGUGUGUGGCAGGAUUGCAACCUUGAAAGGGUUCAUGUUGGAUCUGUCCACCUCGUAUAAUGCCCAAGACGAUAUUUCGGACAAGCCUUCAUCGCUGAUAGCAUAGCUCCAACGAGCAAUCCCCUAUUUCAGAUGUUACACCCCCUCCACCACGAUGAGCAUAGAAAUAUAAGAACACAUUUGUUGAAGAAGCUGUUGCUGUUACCUAAAUCAACACCCAUGGUUAACAGUUAAAAGCAACAACCUACAAAGGAAGAAGGUCUCUUUUGUUAAUGUGCCUCAGAAAGUGUACUUAAAUGUUGAAUCAAUGUCUGAGCUGUAUGUGAGAUUACUGUGAUGGAAUGAGAGGCCUAAAACAGGGUUUUUAAAAAUCUAUAUACUUAACUGAGUGGUUGGUUAAUUAGUUAGCUGACUACCCAAAUGAGUGAGUGCAGCAGAGGAAGAGGAAGAGUCUGCAUGGAUUCCAGUUGAAGAUUUCUACAAGUAAGUGGAGGGAAGAUGUUGUUGCCAUGCUUUUGACUCAGUAAACAGUAUAGAUUUUGGUGAUCGUUGACUGUAACUGACACUCAGGUGAACUCAACCUAAGAUGUUGGGAACUCUGAGUUUCUUCUCACUGUGUUUCUGUCCGGACUGACCUGUUUAGGUUUAGUUUGCUUUCUUUCUUUAUAUUUAUGUAUAACUGUGAAGAUAAUGUAUGUAGAUUAAAAAGUAGCCAUCUUAUAUAGUAAAAAUUGUUGAUGUUUCUUUAUGAUAAGAUUUUAUAAAGUUGGUACUUAAGAAUUAAAUACAUUAUUUUUGUUAUUUUUGGAUUUGAUUGUGAGGGGGUUGACCCUGUGCAAUCCUGGUCGAAAAUCCUCAGUGACUGAUUCUGGGUCUCUGAUCUUUCUAUGGGAGUUCUUUUUCGGCACUGAGCGAAGGGCAGUGAAGUAAUCUCUGGCCCACAAAAGGUUACAAUAGCUGUAGAUUUAUUAUCAUUCAGACUUAACUGCACAUUUGGAUAUUGCCAAAUUUAGGAGUGCUGAUCUACAUACAAUGAUAGAUAUUUUACCACCUCAGUGACAUGUUGCUGCUGAACUGAGCAGCUCUUAUUUCAUACCAGAGAUCAUGUAAGAGCAUACAUGAGUAUGAGAAGAACCUAUGUAUCCACAAUGCAUGAGCUGAACUCUGUUUGACUACAGGUAUAGGCCCACUUGGGGGAAGGGGUUAGGUAAUACUGUUUGACCUGGCCUGUAAAUAAAGGGGCCAAAUGUUAAUGUUCCUUCUAGUAGCACUGAAUCUCCAUUCAUGUGUACUACUUUUCCUUUGUCCAUUACAUUAGGGAUGUUGGAAUGGUAGACACCUGUCUAGAGUUUUUCAGACAAGCUUUCUCUUCCUGCGUACUACUUAAGCUAAAAGAAGAUCAUAUGUUCUUAUGACACUUUUGGACUUGGUGAAAGUGUUGGCUAUUGUGAUGCUUUCUCAGGAAUUCAGGACUGUGAGUUAUGUGAGUUACCUCUCAGCAUCACCUACCUACAUGGCUGGGGAUCCCCCAUUCAUGGAUACAAAAUGGUGGCAGAUAGAUGGAUAACCAAAAUAUCUCCCCCCCAAACCCCUCCAUUUUUAUAGUCCAGUAAACCUUUUUAAGGUAUUCUUGUUUGUCACCCAGAGUGUGGGCGUCAUGUCCUUUUUUUCUCAUCCUCUUGUUAAUUUGCUUUUCCUGUUGACUACAGAUGGAAUUCCUAAUGUCUUUUGGUUUACCCUGCUCCCUUUACAUUUGAGACCUAGGCUGACAGGCAAAUCAAACCUGCAUGGUUUCAUGGUUUGAGCAUAUUUUCAGUACAUACCUAAACCUUUUUAAUUGUUACCCAUACAUACAAUACACAAUGAUUACUAUGACCAGUAUAAGCUUUCAUGGGAUAUCUUAGACAACAUUCUUUAUAGAUAAAUACAAUGAGAGCAGCGUGUAUGUCAGACCUAAUAGGAGUUGCUGUUAGAUGACUAUGAAUCCUUUGCCAGUGAGCACUGAGGGGCUUCAGAGUCACUGCUACCUUGGAGGAUGAUCUAAAUGUGCAUUUUUAAGGGGAUGCAUGUAAGAAAUAUCAGAGACCAGUAAUUUGUCUGGUCCUAGUGCAACAGGAUUAUUUUUAUAUCAUCAUAUUUUUUACUUAUUUGAAAAUGACUGUAGCAAAUAAAGGAGCCUGGUUUGGAAUUAGUUUGUCUAAAUUGUCUAAGUGCAGAUUUAAAUGUUCUGUAACUAUUUAAUUGUAGUAAAUGGAAUAUACACUCUUCAAAUAAAGGAAAUGUUUUAUCUUAGCAGUGUUUGCUGGUAUGUUAUACAUUAUGGAUUGUAAAUGCA
Molecule: long non-coding RNA, 2368 nt
Organism: Chelonia mydas (Green sea turtle)
Lineage: Eukaryota; Metazoa; Chordata; Testudines; Cheloniidae
Exons: 4
Source: RefSeq, a predicted model, not a curated record